Macrosteles quadrilineatus (aster leafhopper) is the source of this 564-nucleotide long non-coding RNA. RefSeq lists it as uncharacterized. NCBI's taxonomy places the organism in Eukaryota, Metazoa, Arthropoda, Insecta, Hemiptera, Cicadellidae. The record is from RefSeq and is a predicted model, not a curated record. The transcript is spliced from 2 exons.
AGGUGUUUAUUCUUUACUGUUUCGUUUGUUUAUUUUUGACUUGAGCUGCUUGAAAAGGUGUUUUAUGUUUAUGAUUAUGAAAAUUAAAGUGUUGUGAGUGUGCUGAAGCUGAUUAUUUGUUAUUAGUGGUGACAGCUUGCAUGGAUCCCGGUCGUGACUCCAUCAUAUACAGAAUGACAAGUACUCGUAUGAAGAAAGACAAUUAAACUACUUCAGAACUGUUGUGUUAAUUUACAAUUAGAUCGUCUGGUACUUAAGAGUCGUAGGCAGUAUUUUUAUUUGUAAAUAUAAACACGUAACAUAGAUCAACUUGUACCAUUCCAUGUUGUAAAUGUUGUUAUGAAUCACAGAUUAAAUAGCUGUCAAAGUUAGGGUGUUGGCUGUAAAUAAAAUGGUGUCAUUUUCAUUUUGACGUGAUGUUAUCUGCUAAUGUAAUUUGUUUGUACAGUAAAAUUUGAAUAUGUACCUAGUUGUUUAAACUCAAAGUACUGUAAUUUUAUUUCAAUUCUCGGUUGUUUGUUUUUAACACUCUUUAAAAUAAAGACAAGUGUGUAUCCCUCAUGU